GAUGAACGCUGGCGGCGUGCCUAAUACAUGCAAGUCGAGCGAACAGACGAGGAGCUUGCUCCUCUGACGUUAGCGGCGGACGGGUGAGUAACACGUGGAUAACCUACCUAUAAGACUGGGAUAACUUCGGGAAACCGGAGCUAAUACCGGAUAAUAUAUUGAACCGCAUGGUUCAAUAGUGAAAGACGGUUUUGCUGUCACUUAUAGAUGGAUCCGCGCCGCAUUAGCUAGUUGGUAAGGUAACGGCUUACCAAGGCAACGAUGCGUAGCCGACCUGAGAGGGUGAUCGGCCACACUAGAACUGAGACACGGUCCAGACUACUACGGGAGGCAGCAGUAGGGAAUCUUCCGCAGUGGGCGAAAGCCUGACGGAGCAACGCCGCGUGAGUGAUGAAGGUCUUCGGAUCGUAAAACUCUGUUAUUAGGGAAGAACAAAUGUGUAAGUAACUAUGCACGUCUUGACGGUACCUAAUCAGAAAGCCACGGCUAACUACGUG
RNAcentral lists this ribosomal RNA (497 nucleotides) under uncultured bacterium. Its description in RNAcentral is "partial 16S ribosomal RNA". It matches the Rfam family "Bacterial small subunit ribosomal RNA", at positions 28 to 507 of the family's 1533-position model. The record is from RNAcentral.